GACGAACGCUGGCGGCGUGCUUAACACAUGCAAGUCGAACGGAAAGGCCCUGCUUUUGUGGGGUGCUCGAGUGGCGAACGGGUGAGUAACACGUGAGUAACCUGCCCUUGACUUUGGGAUAACUUCAGGAAACUGGGGCUAAUACCGGAUAGGAGCUCCUGCUGCAUGGUGGGGGAUGGAAAGUUUCGGCGGUUGGGGAUGGACUCGCGGCUUAUCAGCUUGUUGGUGGGGUAGUGGCUUACCAAGGCUUUGACGGGUAGCCGGCCUGAGGGGGUGACCGGCCACAUUGGGACUGAGAUACGGCCCAGACUCCUACGGGAGGCAGCAGUGGGGAAUAUUGCACAAUGGGCGGAAGCCUGAUGCAGCAACGCCGCGUGCGGGAUGACGGCCUUCGGGUUGUAAACCGCUUUCGCCUGUGACGAAGCGUGAGUGACGGUAAUGGGUAAAGAAGCACCGGCUAACUACGUG
RNAcentral lists this ribosomal RNA (468 nucleotides) under uncultured bacterium. Its description in RNAcentral is "partial 16S ribosomal RNA". It matches the Rfam family "Bacterial small subunit ribosomal RNA", at positions 28 to 507 of the family's 1533-position model. The record is from RNAcentral.